GGAUAGAAUGGGUCAAAUCUGCUGUCCAGAGUCUCAACCACAGCGAUUGCUAUGCUUGUGCCUCGGGACGACCGAUAGCCCGGAUGGUGCCCUGCCCAUUGGGGUGGACCGAGGACUCCCGAGGGAUGCGAUGUACGAUUGCAUUGUACCCAGAAAAGCCUGCCUGGGGAAAUGAGGCCUGGUGUGAGUGCUACCCAGCAUCUGGGAGAAUUUGCCUUGUGCACGAGGACCUUGAAUGCUACCAAGGACUUGAUGGGAAACUGCUCAAGACUUGAGAUCCCCAGGGCAGAUCUCUGGUGGUACUGUGGAGGGCAGAUCUUACGGUCCACCCUACCAUCUAAUUGGGGAGGUGCUUGUGCACUUGUUCAAUUAGCUAUACCCUUCGCCCUGGCAUUUGAAAGAGAAACAUCACAAAUACCCAGAAGAAGUAAAAGAAGCUUAGGAAUAUAAUUUGAUGAUAGAGUCUACAUAGAGUCUAUUGGGGUGCCUAGAGGAGUUCCCGAUGAACAGAAAGCCAGGAAUCAAAUUGCUGCAGGGUUUGAGUCACUGUUCUGGUGGGUAACAAUCAAUAAGAAUAUUUAUUAUAAUCAGCAGAUAUUCAUAAAUUAUACAAGGGAUGCGAUAAGAGGAAUUGCUGAGCAACUAGAUGCCACCAGCAAAAUGGCUUGGGAAAACAAUUUAGCAUCAGAUAUGAUGUUUGCGGAGAAAGGUGGUGUGUGUGUGUGAUACUGAGCAACCAUUGUUGUACUUUUAUCCCUAACAAUACUGCCCCGGAUGGCACAGUAACUAGAGCAUUGCAAGGGCUUACCACCCUUGCCAGUGAAUUGGCAGAAUAAUUAGGGACAGGCACUUCCAUCACAGGAUGUUUGGAAUCUUGGUUUGGUAAAUGGAAAGGGAUGGUAGUGUCCAUAUUUGCAUCCUUGAUCGUAGUAGCGGGAGUUUUGACAGCCAUUGGUUGUUGCAUUAUCCCCUGUGUAAGAGGACUAGUCCAGCGGUUAAUUGAAACUGCACUAUUGAAACAAAUGACCACAAAGCCACCACCUUACUCAGAUAAGGUGAUGAUAUUAGAGGAGAUGGAAAGCAAAGAAAGUGAAGAAGAGGAAGAUAUCUACCAAAUUACACCUUAGAGAAAAGUUUUGCAAAAAUCAACAAUUUAUAAAGAAGAAAAGGGGGGAAUUGUGGGAAUAAAAAUGUUGUUUUUGCAGAGUUGCA
RNAcentral lists this long non-coding RNA (1212 nucleotides) under Anser cygnoides (Swan goose). RNAcentral's name for it is "lncRNA (ENSACDG00005012633.1)". Lineage: Eukaryota; Metazoa; Chordata; Aves; Anseriformes; Anatidae. The record is from RNAcentral.